RNAcentral lists this ribosomal RNA (253 nucleotides) under uncultured bacterium. RNAcentral describes it as "partial 16S ribosomal RNA". It matches the Rfam family "Bacterial small subunit ribosomal RNA", at positions 524 to 776 of the family's 1533-position model. The record is from RNAcentral.
UACGUAGGGUCCGAGCGUUGUCCGGAAUUAUUGGGCGUAAAGGGCUCGUAGGCGGUUUGUCACGUCGGGCGUGAAAACUCAGGGCUCAACCCUGAGCGUGCGUUCGAUACGGGCAGACUAGAGGCAUGCAGGGGAGAACGGAAUUCCUGGUGUAGCGGUGAAAUGCGCAGAUAUCAGGAGGAACACCGGUGGCGAAGGCGGUUCUCUGGGCAUGUCCUGACGCUGAGGAGCGAAAGUGUGGGGAGCGAACAGG